AGCUAUUACAACACUUUUAGAAUUUCUCUAGCAGGUUUUCUGAUUUUUGUUAAAAAGAGCUAUC
Molecule: small nuclear RNA, 64 nt
Organism: Arvicanthis niloticus (Nile rat)
Lineage: Eukaryota; Metazoa; Chordata; Mammalia; Rodentia; Muridae
Product: U7 small nuclear RNA
Source: RefSeq, a predicted model, not a curated record